CCCAAUAGUAAAAAAUAGACACAUGGCACCCUAGGGUUGGGUGGACCCCACCCUAAUUUUUGAGACACUUGAUCCUAGGAGAAAAGAAGCCAACAACCGCCACUUGCUUUGGAUUUACUUUUUCUCUCGGCAAUUGAAUAUUUGGAGCACCUUGCUGCAAUGUUGGGAGGUAGACUUGGCUGGAACAUUUUCCACCAGCUGCCACCCUCAACAAAAUUGCACUUGCUUUGAACGUUUCUUUCGCAUGGAACUUUUCUUGGAAUUGUUUGAUUUUGGAUGAAGGAGCAUGUAGCUUCCAGC
This 300-nucleotide long non-coding RNA is filed under the name Vigna radiata. Its description in RNAcentral is "long non-coding RNA (VRAD_LNC012037)". The record is from RNAcentral. Lineage: Eukaryota; Viridiplantae; Streptophyta; Magnoliopsida; Fabales; Fabaceae.